Non-coding RNA from Stygiomarasmius scandens, 102 nucleotides. NCBI's taxonomy places the organism in Eukaryota, Fungi, Basidiomycota, Agaricomycetes, Agaricales, Campanellaceae. The record is from the annotation of a GenBank genome assembly.
GGCGAGAUGGCCGAGCGGUCUAAGGCGCCAGACUAAGGACCAGGACGCUUACGUCCUGAUAUCUGGUCCGAAAGGGCGUGGGUUCGAAUCCCACUCUCGUCA